Molecule: long non-coding RNA, 522 nt
Organism: Lepus europaeus (European hare)
Lineage: Eukaryota; Metazoa; Chordata; Mammalia; Lagomorpha; Leporidae
Exons: 3
Source: RefSeq, a predicted model, not a curated record
UACAUGGGUGGUAGGGGUCUAAGCACUUGAACCAUCACCUGCUGCUUCCUAGGGCAUGCGUGGCAGAAAGCCGAUGUCAGAAACAGAGGUGGGACUGGAACCAGGGCCCUCUGAUGUGGGAUGGCGGCAUCCCUAGCAGUAACUUAACCUCUGUGCCAAAUGCCCUCCUGGGUGGGUUUCAGCCCCUGCACACUCCCCCACCCCAAACAGGAUGCUUUUUUAAUCACUACCCUCUCCUCUUCCUGACGAGGCCUCUAGCACAGCCCUGGCCAAAGCCUGGCUGGGUGAAGGAAGCAGCUUCCAGCUCUUGCUCACAGCUGCCCGCCAGCAAACGGUGUUCUCAGUUUGGGCAGUUUCCUUUUGGAUUUCCCUCCCUGGGGAUCGUCAGUAGGCGACGCUGAGCCCCUCUGUGGAUGGGACAGGUCUAGCCACAGAUAGGACGUCAGCGGAAGCCCUAGUCAACUGCGGAGGGCCAGGCUGGGAAGGGUGACUGUUUUCAAAUGAGGACGAGGCCCCAUUCAU